AAAGUCCUGAUGUGUUUGUUGUACACCUAGUUUUGACCGAACAUUUUUUUACUUGGGAGUUCGAUGUUUCCAAAUGGAGCAAAUGCCUCUUAUCACUCGUGUGCUGGAGGACUUGCAAAGUUUGGAAC
This 128-nucleotide small RNA is filed under the name Bacillus haynesii. RNAcentral's name for it is "partial 6S RNA". It matches the Rfam family "6S / SsrS RNA", at positions 1 to 122 of the family's 187-position model. Rfam says of the family: E. coli 6S RNA was the first non coding RNA to be sequenced, but its function was unknown until recently. It consists of 184 nucleotides that fold into an extended hairpin structure with a large single-stranded internal bulge. Lineage: Bacteria; Bacillati; Bacillota; Bacilli; Caryophanales; Bacillaceae. The record is from RNAcentral.